AGAGUUUGAUCCUGGCUCAGGAUGAACGCUGGCGGCGUGCUUAACACAUGCAAGUCGAACGGGCUCAUAUUGAAACCUAGUGAUUUAUGAGUUAGUGGCGGACGGGUGAGUAACGCGUGGAAAACCUGCCGUAUACUGGGGGAUAACGCUUAGAAAUAGGUGCUAAUACCGCAUAAGCGCACAGCUUCGCAUGAAGUGGUGUGAAAAACUCCGGUGGUAUACGAUGGUUCCGCGUCUGAUUAGCUUGUUGGCGGGGUAAUGGCUCACCAAGGCGACGAUCAGUAGCCGGCCUGAGAGGGUGAACGGCCACAUUGGGACUGAGACACGGCCCAAACUCCUACGGGAGGCAGCAGUGGGGAAUAUUGCACAAUGGGGGAAACCCUGAUGCAGCGACGCCGCGUGAGUGAAGAAGUAUUUCGGUAUGUAAAGCUCUAUCAGCAGGGAAGAAAUAGCGACCUUUGGGUCGCCAGACGGUACCUGAUUAAGAAGCCCCGGCUA
RNAcentral lists this ribosomal RNA (498 nucleotides) under uncultured bacterium. RNAcentral describes it as "bacterial SSU rRNA". It matches the Rfam family "Bacterial small subunit ribosomal RNA", at positions 8 to 499 of the family's 1533-position model. The record is from RNAcentral.